UAAAUUUGAGGGUAUGACAAGUUAUGCAUAAAAUAAAUAGAAAAUGUAUAUGGCAAAAGGGUAAGAGUUAAAUGUUAAAUACCAGGGUAUAGUUGCAAAAAGUGAUCACUUAAUGGUUCUCUAUCCACAAGUCAAGGGACUCAAAAUAUGGCGCUUUAAGGGAUAACCUAUCAUUGAUUCAAAGUUUCAAAAAUGAUCCACUUACAAUUUAUCAACAUGUUUGAAUCAAAGAAGAUUGAAUUAGUUGAAACAUCC
Molecule: long non-coding RNA, 255 nt
Filed under: Lathyrus oleraceus (garden pea)
Lineage: Eukaryota; Viridiplantae; Streptophyta; Magnoliopsida; Fabales; Fabaceae
Description: Pisum sativum (pea) long non-coding RNA (PSAT_LNC022711)
Source: RNAcentral